This 253-nucleotide ribosomal RNA is filed under the name uncultured bacterium. Its description in RNAcentral is "partial 16S ribosomal RNA". It matches the Rfam family "Bacterial small subunit ribosomal RNA", at positions 524 to 776 of the family's 1533-position model. The record is from RNAcentral.
UACGGAGGGUGCAAGCGUUAUCCGGAUUUAUUGGGUUUAAAGGGUGCGUAGGCGGUUUUGUAAGUCAGCGGUGAAAGCUCCCAGCCUAACUGGGAAACUGCCAUUGAUACUGCAAAGCUUGAGUAUAGUUGAGGUAGGCGGAAUUGAUGGUGUAGCGGUGAAAUGCAUAGAUAUCAUCAAGAACUCCAAUAGCGAAGGCAGCUUACUAAACUAUAACUGACGCUGAGGCACGAAAGUGUGGGGAUCAAACAGG